UACGUAGGGGGCGAGCGUUGUCCGGAAUUAUUGGGCGUAAAGAGCGUGUAGGCGGUUCGGUAAGUCUGCCGUGAAAACCUGGGGCUCAACCCCGGGCGUGCGGUGGAUACUGCCGGGCUAGAGGGUGGUAGAGGCGAGUGGAAUUCCCGGUGUAGCGGUGAAAUGCGCAGAUAUCAGGAGGAACACCGAUGGCGAAGGCAGGUCUCUGGGCAUUAACUGACGCUGAGGAGCGAAAGCAUGGGGAGCGAACAGG
RNAcentral lists this ribosomal RNA (253 nucleotides) under uncultured bacterium. Its description in RNAcentral is "partial 16S ribosomal RNA". It matches the Rfam family "Bacterial small subunit ribosomal RNA", at positions 524 to 776 of the family's 1533-position model. The record is from RNAcentral.